This 185-nucleotide ribosomal RNA is filed under the name Phacaspis mitis. RNAcentral's name for it is "partial 12S ribosomal RNA". The record is from RNAcentral. Lineage: Eukaryota; Metazoa; Arthropoda; Insecta; Diptera; Dolichopodidae.
CUCAAAAAAUUUGGCGGUAUUUUAGUCUAUUCAGAGGAACCUGUAAUGUAAUUGAUAAUCCACGAUGAACCUCACUUAGUCUUGUAAACAGUUUGUAUACCGCUGUUAUUUGAAAAUUUUAUAAGAAUAAUAAUUUUCAGAAAUUUUUAUAAAAAAAAUAAAUCAAGUCAAGGUGCAGCUUAUGA